This 435-nucleotide ribosomal RNA is filed under the name uncultured bacterium. Its description in RNAcentral is "partial 16S ribosomal RNA". It matches the Rfam family "Bacterial small subunit ribosomal RNA", at positions 29 to 507 of the family's 1533-position model. The record is from RNAcentral.
AGCGAACGCUGGCGGCAGGCUUAACACAUGCCAGUCGAGCGGGCACUUUCGGGUGUCCGCGGCGGACGGGUGAGUAACGCGUGGGAACGUGCCCUCUGGUUCGGAAUAACUCAGGGAAACUUGAGCUAAUACCGGAUACGCCCUUUUGGGGAAAGGCUUGCUGCCGGAGGAUCGGCCCGCGUCUGAUUAGCUAGUUGGUGAGGUAACGGCUCACCAAGGCGACGAUCAGUAGCUGGUCUGAGAGGAUGAUCAGCCACACUGGGACUGAGACACGGCCCAGACUCCUACGGGAGGCAGCAGUGGGGAAUAUUGGACAAUGGGCGCAAGCCUGAUCCAGCCAUGCCGCGUGAGUGAUGAAGGCCUUAGGGUUGUAAAGCUCUUUUAUCCGGGACGAUAAUGACGGUACCGGAGGAAUAAGCCCCGGCUAACUUCGUG